This is a long non-coding RNA of Zonotrichia leucophrys gambelii, 3424 nucleotides long. RefSeq lists it as uncharacterized. Lineage: Eukaryota; Metazoa; Chordata; Aves; Passeriformes; Passerellidae. The record is from RefSeq and is a predicted model, not a curated record. The transcript has 2 exons.
AGUUGAGGAGAGCUUGGGAAGAGUCCUGAUGAGGAAGUAGCAACAAGCAGAAGAAGUAGUCAGAGCGGUGAAGGACUGUCCCCAAGAAAUAUUGCUGAGGAGGAGAGGCAGCAGCGGGGAAUGAAGCAUUCUUCAGCUCCUCAAGGGGUCUGGACCACUGGAAAGGUCAAGCAAACAAAGUUAAAAUAACCAUGAGGCUUGCUGGCCAGCCAGCACUCUGGGUCCAAGAUCAGCGGUGCUGCUGGUGGUGACUAAUGCAAUUAAAUCAGCUCUGGGUCCUGUGCUGCGGGAAUGAUCUUAUAGCGGUGCGUGCUGCUGCCAGAUGGAUUGCUCAAGCCUGGAAACCUCCCUCGUGCACACAUACUUAAUCGCAACAGGCGCUUUCCGUGAAAAAAUGUGGCACUGGCGGAGGGAUUUUUAGCCUCUUCGCUGUAGGAAACAACGGCAGGGAGCAGAGUGCAGUGUGCAGGAGUCGGUGGGUGGUGAGCAUGGGCUUUUUGGGCUGCAAAGGGCCGUUCAUUUCUUGGGAAUGGUGGCAAAGCAGAGCCUGGAGGAAUGUGUACCAGGAGGACUUGCUGGAUAAGGGGCCAGCAAGCACUGUGGACUGGCUGCCAGCACUGAGGAUGCUCCACCAGGUAUCCCCCUGCAAGCUGUGGCAGCUUCCAGCCUCUCCCAGAGAGGAGUUUGAUGUCUAGCCAUGUCUGCUGUGGUUGUUUCUCAAUUGUUUCUAUCUUGAAAGAUUAGUAUUUGGAAUAACAGUGAGAAAGUAGCUAUCUGGAAUUUGCCUGGACCAAAUGGCAUGGGUAGUUUCUCUGUUUCCCACUUUGUGAGGCAUCAGUGGAAAGCUGGAAGGAAAGGGCGGGAGGUCAAGGACAGCAUCUGAGCCCCAUUAUGUCACCCACUGUGCUGGUGCUUAAUUCACCAAAGUCUCCCUGUGGUGAGGUGACCUUACAGUGAAAACACUUCUGCUUCCUUUCCUUCUCAUCAGGUACUCCUGGCUUUGUCACAAGCUUCAUUAUCACAUGCAAGGAGAAAAGCAUCAUCAGUUUAUGGCCAUAUAUUAACACUAAGCACCAUGAAUAGUGUAUGAAAAUGGAGUGUCAGCCAGGAGAGAUCAUCCUUCAGCUGCUGCUGUUGGUAACUGCUGAAGUUUGAGACAUCCUGUAGGCUUACGUAGUAGGAAGCUGCUCAGUUUUUAAUGGAAAGGCCCUUUCCUGUUCAAUUUGAAUUCUUACACUUUUCUGGACAAUUAAACUGGGGUUUGAGGUACUACAGAUCACUUUUACCUAAGAGCAACCUCAUAUUUGACCACUGUGGCUAAAUCCAUGUUGUUACCAUAGUUGGUCCUAACUAUGGAAAAAAUGACAUACAAGGAAGGAAGCACAAGCUGCACCUUCCAGUCUUCCAUUAAGUCUCCCAAAUUCAUUAACAUCAAAACAGUCGUGUUAGGUCAGACUAAGGGUUUAUUCAUCUCAAUAUCUUUCCUUCAGAUGCAUCUUAACUAUGUUUGUGAAAUAAGUAGGAAACCUUUUCCCUUGUACAUUCUUCCAGCUCUCUGUGGUUUAAGCAUGUCCUGAUGUAAAGCCUGCACUCACCCCAUAAUCUUUUUAGCAGUCAUAAACAAAGCUUAAUUCCAAAAUCUCCUCAAUUUAUUAAUUCUUGUGGCCUCUGAAGCAGUCUGCUGUAAACAUCACCACAAUAUAACUAUGCAGUCAUGAACCAUUAUUUCCUUUUGCAGAUCUGGUAUCAGUUGUUCACUGCGUUGUGAAGACCCUGAGCAAACUGUUCUCCAUUCACAUUUUCCCUCACUGCCAUCACUUCACUGCUCUUCAUCCCAUUCUGCAUCAGUCUCUCCAUUCAGACCUCAGGGCUGUUUAGCCUCUCUUUGUAGGAAAGCUGUGCUGCACUGACCAUCCCUGUGCUUAUCCUGUGCUGUAUCCAAUUCUGACACAACAUUUUCUGGGAUAGCAUAGCAGUGACCUUACUGACAUUUAGUAGGUGAGAUAGAGAUAAACGUGCAAACUCCAUAAGCUUUUAAGUUGGGAAGGAAUUACUCAAUUAAAUAUUAUUAACUCAGACAACUGAAAGAACAAUGUCCUCACUGCUUUGCUGGGACUCAUAUUUACCUUACAGCAAGCCCAGAACUCACCUUUUGGGCUUUCCCAGAUGUGCAAAGUCCUGGAUUUGCCCUAGCACAGAGCAAGGUUUGUCCAAAGCACAUUUCUCUCUGAGAAAUGCAGCCCUCCAAAGGCACAAGGAAGGCAGGGGCAGCCUGCAUGGUAGUGCUAUGUGUGGGGAAGAAAAGGGGCAGAUAUCAGGGGUGGGAGCUUCAUGGGGUUAAUUUUUAAUACAGUAGAGGCUAAGAUAGGGUUAGUACUUUGGAGGGAAAGUACUGAGUGCAGGGUCAAUGACAGUAGUCAUAGUAGCCAAAAAGAAAGUGGGUCGGGUCAUUGGAGCCCCUAGAAGACUUAGAGGAGGAAAGCUACAGGGAAGCACUCCUUGUGCAUAAAGAAGGCUGAAUAUUUUAGGUGGGAAAAUACUGCCUUCGUGUCCUUAGGAAGGCAAAGGAUGCACGGAAUAAACAAACAAAUCCACAAACCCAUGCUUGCAUAAUUAUAUCAAGAUAUAUGCUGGGCUUCAUAAUGACACCAGUGCCAGCAAUAGGUUGGUUUAUAAUUUUUAUGGAUUAGGACGGGAGAAAUGAGUGCCUCAGUUCAGGGCAGCCCAUGGAAGUAUAUAGAAGAAUAUCAGUAUGUUUUGUUGCUGCUAAGAGAAAGCAACAAAACUUAAGGAAUGGCAUGUAGGCUUGGCUGCAGUCUCUGAAUAAGGCAAUUAAAAGGUUUUGCAAAAGUAGUUGACAGCCUUAUUCUCUGGGUGCUUCUGUAGAAUACUUCAUCUGCAAGGCACAGCUGGCUAUCCAGGUGAAUUGCUUUCCCAUCUCUACUGCAGAGGGAGGUGUGAGCUGACUCAGGAUGAGGCAAGGACAACAUAAACACUCGUUUUCAGACAAAUAUAAAGUAGCUCCUGCAGCAAGGCACAAAAUCAAGACAGUGAUAAUUUGCUGUUAAGCCCAGAUUCUGGAUCUGAGGACAUGGAAGUGCUCUAGUAGACAUGGGACUUCCCUUAGUUUUGCACCUUCCUAGGUGGCUCAUACGUCUCUCCCUGAGCUGUCAGCUGUGCCAGCCCUGGGCUGGAGGGAGACACUCAGACGGCACAGGUGGUGGCACAGUGGGCAUACAUGGCUGGCUAACGUGUUCCUGGUUCGCGCAGGAGCCACAAGAAGCAAAUAAAAGGGCUUGGCACAGAGCUACAUGAAAUGUUAUUGAAUGACAGGACAGUGAAUUGCAGACCUUUUUUUGAAUUGUUGUUUUGAUGCCACUCAGAAAUUUUAUUGGAAACAAGAAAUACACCAUUAUUUAUGACA